Molecule: ribosomal RNA, 1157 nt
Filed under: Salmonella enterica subsp. enterica serovar Rissen
Lineage: Bacteria; Pseudomonadati; Pseudomonadota; Gammaproteobacteria; Enterobacterales; Enterobacteriaceae
Description: partial 23S ribosomal RNA
Rfam family: Bacterial large subunit ribosomal RNA
Source: RNAcentral
GGGUUGUGAGGUUAAGCGACUAAGCGUACACGGUGGAUGCCCUGGCAGUCAGAGGCGAUGAAGGGCGUGCUAAUCUGCGAUAAGCGCCGGUAAGGUGAUAUGAACCGUUAUAACCGGCGAUACCCGAAUGGGGAAACCCAGUGUGACUCGUCACACUAUCAUUAACUGAAUCCAUAGGUUAAUGAGGCGAACCGGGGGAACUGAAACAUCUAAGUACCCCGAGGAAAAGAAAUCAACCGAGAUUCCCCCAGUAGCGGCGAGCGAACGGGGAGGAGCCCAGAGCCUGAAUCAGCAUGUGUGUUAGUGGAAGCGUCUGGAAAGGCGCGCGAUACAGGGUGACAGCCCCGUACACAAAAGCGCAUGUGCUGUGAGCUCGAUGAGUAGGGCGGGACACGUGGUAUCCUGUCUGAAUAUGGGGGGACCAUCCUCCAAGGCUAAAUACUCCUGACUGACCGAUAGUGAACCAGUACCGUGAGGGAAAGGCGAAAAGAACCCCGGCGAGGGGAGUGAAAAAGAACCUGAAACCGUGUACGUACAAGCAGUGGGAGCACCCUUCGGGGUGUGACUGCGUACCUUUUGUAUAAUGGGUCAGCGACUUAUAUUCUGUAGCAAGGUUAACCGAAUAGGGGAGCCGGAGGGAAACCGAGUCUUAAUUGGGCGUUAAGUUGCAGGGUAUAGACCCGAAACCCGGUGAUCUAGCCAUGGGCAGGUUGAAGGUUGGGUAACACUAACUGGAGGACCGAACCGACUAAUGUUGAAAAAUUAGCGGAUGACCUGUGGCUGGGGGUGAAAGGCCAAUCAAACCGGGAGAUAGCUGGUUCUCCCCGAAAGCUAUUUAGGUAGCGCCUCGUGAACUCAUCUCCGGGGGUAGAGCACUGUUUCGGCUAGGGGGCCAUCCCGGCUUACCAACCCGAUGCAAACUGCGAAUACCGGAGAAUGUUAUCACGGGAGACACACGGCGGGUGCUAACGUCCGUCGUGAAGAGGGAAACAACCCAGACCGCCAGCUAAGGUCCCAAAGUCAUGGUUAAGUGGGAAACGAUGUGGGAAGGCCCAGACAGCCAGGAUGUUGGCUUAGAAGCAGCCAUCAUUUAAAGAAAGCGUAAUAGCUCACUGGUCGAGUCGGCCUGCGCGGAAGAUGUAACGGGGCUAAACCAU